AACCGAGGUUAAUACCGGAUACUCCAUAUUUGUCGCAUGGCGAAUAUGGGGAAAGCUCCGGCGGCAAAGGAUGGGCCCGCGGCCUGUUAGCUAGUUGGUGGGGUAGUGGCCUACCAAGGCAAUGAUGGGUAGCCGGGUUGAGAGAUCGACCGGCCAGAUUGGGACUGAGACACGGCCCAGACUCCUACGGGAGGCAGCAGCA
Molecule: ribosomal RNA, 202 nt
Filed under: uncultured Atopobium sp.
Lineage: Bacteria; Bacillati; Actinomycetota; Coriobacteriia; Coriobacteriales; Atopobiaceae
Description: partial 16S ribosomal RNA
Rfam family: Bacterial small subunit ribosomal RNA
Source: RNAcentral